UACGGGGGGAGCAAGCGUUGUUCGGAUUUACUGGGCGUAAAGGGCGCGUAGGCGGUCGUGACAAGUCACUUGUGAAAUCUCCGGGCUUAACUCGGAACGGUCAAGUGAUACUGUCGGACUAGAGUACAGAAGGGGCAACUGGAAUUCUCGGUGUAGCGGUGAAAUGCGUAGAUAUGGGGAGGAACACCGGUGGCGAAGGCGGCCAUCUGGACGGAUACUGACGCUGAGACGCGAAAGCGUGGGUAGCAAACAGG
This 254-nucleotide ribosomal RNA is filed under the name uncultured bacterium. RNAcentral describes it as "partial 16S ribosomal RNA". It matches the Rfam family "Bacterial small subunit ribosomal RNA", at positions 524 to 776 of the family's 1533-position model. The record is from RNAcentral.